This 3071-nucleotide long non-coding RNA is filed under the name Nicotiana tabacum (common tobacco). Its description in RNAcentral is "long non-coding RNA (NTAB_LNC006339)". Lineage: Eukaryota; Viridiplantae; Streptophyta; Magnoliopsida; Solanales; Solanaceae. The record is from RNAcentral.
ACGGUCUUCCGCUGUGUUUAAUCAGGCUUGGCCGAAGAUGUGGUUUGCUUACCCUUUGACUCUUUUGAGAGUGGAGAUAUUGGUGCCGUCGAUGCGUCAUGUGAUGCGGAAUUUCCCCUUGUCGCAUAUUGCUUCCUACCAACGGUUUUAAUUCCGUCCCUUGCGUGGAAUUUUAUCCUUUUGGUGAAGUGGGGGCGGCCCUGUCUUUGGGUGAUGCGCCUGCGGUCGUCUGAAUAAGGCAUCCGUGCCUUGCGCCUCCCUUGAUGAUACGGGACUCGGUGUUCCGGUCUAGACCAGUCAUGCUGUACUGAGAGAAUGGUUUUUCUCCUUAUCAUAGCAAUCACCAUUCGGAAUCUGUCAAAGAUUCGAGAGGUGGUUGUGUUUUAACCCGGCGGCCCGAUAGUGCUGAUUGAUCCACCUGCACUCAUGUGCACAUGUUUUAUUUAAAACGGAUUGAGUGAGGAGGAAGGUUCUAGUACGUCAUUGUGAGGUCGAGACGAGGCCUCGGUACCCUCUUUGUUGAAUAUAAGGGCGUCCUUGGGGGUAUAUCCCCAGAUUUACCUUUCUUCGGUGACGAGAAAUUUUGCUCUCCCUUUUAUAAGUUCUUGGAAAGGGUCGUCGAUCCUCCAUUGUCGUGGCAAUGCACUGCGGCCCAUUUGCUUUGUUCCUCCUGUCCGCCUGCCAUACUGGGGACUGAACUUGAAUUUGGUCGCUCGUUAGUUCUCGACGGUGAUUUUUGUCGAGCGGCUUGGCGUCUUUCCUUCGGAGCUGGUGGCUAUCUUCGGCCCCGUGGCCGCACUUGCUAGGUAGUUCCCGUGCCAUGUUAUGAUCCCUUUGAGAGGAGUUCGACCGAAUUGGUCCGAGCCAUUCGACGUCCCUGGUUUCACCUACGGCGAACAUGAUAUUUGGUAUAGCGAUAUGGAAAUUAUACUCUGAUUGGCGAGGCGCCCUUGUCGGCCAUGUGUCCUCGUCGAAUAUGGCUUUGUUAAUGAUUCCUUGAGGAUAUUCUCCUCGGGCCAUUCUACAAUCGUUGGAAGGUAGAUUGCAUCUUGUGGCAUUCCUUCUGUCUGCGGCGCACAGGUGGUACCUCCCUCUGUUUGGAAUUAUUUUCUUUGCCAGGAGCCUAUUUGGUUAAGCUGAGCCCGAGGAGGCUCCCGAAUGGUCAUCCGCGACUGAUGCCGGGUACAAGCAUCCGACCAGGUCUUGGCUGGGUACCUGAUCAAGUUUUGUAUGAACUGCCCCGAAAUCGUCGGGCCUGGUUUAUUUAGGCUUUGAGUGAAGGCAUGUAUUGCCCAGUUGUUACACCUCCUUUUUCAUUACACCACGGGAGGGUAUAAAUAAAGGAGUUUUUCCAAUCAAAGGACAUUUGAAAUGAGAUUUAUUGUUAAAAUAUUCAGAGUCGCCACUUGGGAAAUUUAUGGUGUCCCAAGUCACCGGUUGAAUCCCGAAUAGAGGAAAAGCUUGACUCUGUUUAACAGUCCGCGAACCAGAAAUCCGAGUAAGGAAUUCUGUUAACCCGAGAGAAGGUGUUAGGAACUCCCGAGUUCCGUGGUUCUAGCACGAUCGCUCACUGUUAUAUUUGGCUUAUUAUCUGACUUUAGAACACCUUCAAAACCUAUGUGCAUUUUCACUUUUCACCGCUUUUCAUUAAAUCAUUUUUAGGAAGAUGUUAACGUUAUCAAAAUCACGUCUUGAGUUACGUCACAUAAAUGCACCCGCAGUCCACGAUAAAUUUUAUUUAACGUUGUCGAGAUUUGAAUUUGGGUCACAUAAAUACGCACCCGAGUUUGGGAAUUAGAUAUCACGACUAUGCCACGGGAACCGUACCCAUAGCCGUGAUGAUUCACUAUGUGCCAAAAGCAAGCUAUGAGUGUUUAUAAAUAUCAUUUAUGGACUAAUCAAAGAGGGAAGCUAUCCAAAUCUAAUUUCAGUUUCUCUUAAAAAAAUCAACCUGUGGCUAAGCAUGCUCUUAUUAAUUGAUGAAUUAGCAAAGAAACAAAGUAAAAAAAAAACAGAAUUACCAAAGCUCCAAAUCUGAUUAUCGUCAUUCUCUUUUACGAAACAUUUUAAAGAAUUUAAACCAAACCAAUCAUCAAAACUAUUCAUAAUACGUUAAUUCUCAAUUUUUAAUUUUCAACCUGCUUAAGAUCAAAAUAAGAACAAAUCUUAUGAAACAAAAACAGCCAAAAUGGAAAGAAGUAGGUUCAUGAUUUUUCAAAAGAAAGAAAUCCAAAGACGUCAUGCCUUUUAAACAAGAGAAAAUCAAUAUACCACACCUAUAGUAAUCAAUACUCACAUUUAAUUCAAGCUCAAUCAUGAUCCAAUACAAAACCAUAUAUGAAAUAAAGAUCUAGAGCUUAUGAGAAAAGGAAAUGGACCUCUAAGCAAAAAUUGAACAGAUCUGAGAGACGCUAAUCGGAAACGUGAACCGCACAGACAAACCUCGACGGACCUCAAAUCUCCGACUCAACGACUAAACAGGAAGCUUGCACCAGGGACUUCGACGAACUCAACACCUCGAUAUAUGGCGCUGUACAGAUCUCGCGAACGAACCCCAAGAUGGACUCAACCUCGACAAAGAACUAGCAGAAUAGUCAUCGAGACUCGGCCAGAAACUCGCCGGAAAAGUGUUAAACGAGUUUUGAACUCCUCACUAUUUUUAACCCAUUUUUCGUUCACUGCUGCUUCAGCAUGUGCGUGUGUGUGUGAUGACGUGAGCUGCUGGUGUGAGCUCGUUCUAGGUUGAAGCAAGCGAAAAUGAAGGGUGUUGUUUGGUUCGCCGGCAGCGUCGCCACUCACCGGUGAUCAGCUCCGGCGAGGCAGCAGCUGUUGAUGGUGUUGGAAGAUCUGUGAUGGCGGGGAGCUGGGGUCGUUGGGUGUGAGGUGAAAGGAGAGAGCAUGUCGUUUGUACUACUGUUGAUGGGAACUAAAGUUCAGAAAAAUGGAGAGGGGACGUUGGAGAAGAAGACGUGAAAAGGAGUCCCAGCUUUCGUCGCAGCUUCUUCUGCUUUUCAGUUUUUUUUCGUUCUUUUUCAUGCGCAGUUUUUUUUUGUUUUUAGCUUUUUCUCCUC